CAUUCUACCUUUUCCUACAAUGAAUCCACCAGCAGAAAUUCCUGUACACAUCUUAUCAACAAAGAAUUUGAACCUCAAAGAGUGGCUCAAAGAGGUCAGGAGGCACCUUCAACACUUUUAUUGGAGAUCUCCUUGUCUAGAUCAUCAGAUUCUCACUGUGUUACCUAGGCUGCAGUGCAGUGGUGCGAUCUCAACUCACUGCAACCUCUACCUCCUGGGUUCAAGCAAUUCUCCUGCCUCAGCCUCCCAAGUAGCUGGGAUUACAGGUGAGUGCCACCACGCCUGGCUAAUUUUUGUAUUUUUAGUAGAAACAGGUUUCUCCAUGUUGGCUAGGCUGGUCUCAAACUCCUUACCUCAGGUGAUCCACCUUGCCUCAGCCUCCCAAAGUGCUGCAGUUACAGGUGUAAGCCACUGCCUGGCCUAAGAUAUUUAUUUUAAAUUGUAUUUAUGGUUAGAAAAAAUAUUCAUUUAUAGUGAUGUAAAUUAUCUGAUUGAUUAAA
This 500-nucleotide long non-coding RNA is filed under the name Homo sapiens (human). RNAcentral describes it as "non-protein coding ZFPM2-AS1:9". The record is from RNAcentral. Lineage: Eukaryota; Metazoa; Chordata; Mammalia; Primates; Hominidae.